Molecule: long non-coding RNA, 919 nt
Filed under: Rattus norvegicus (Norway rat)
Lineage: Eukaryota; Metazoa; Chordata; Mammalia; Rodentia; Muridae
Description: long non-coding RNA NONRATT015240
Rfam family: tRNA (bases 831-899)
Source: RNAcentral
UUUUCCUGUAGUUGAAUGACCAAAGAAGCCAUCCUUGUUCCAUAAAUCUGUAAGAGAGUGGUGACUGCAAGAGAAAACUCACUAAACACACAGUAGAUUGUAAAUCUAUUGGACUAGAAUUUCUCCUUUAAUUAUAGCUGACACAGUAAUAACCCAGAGACACAGCCCAAGUUUCUAGGAUUUGAAAGAAUCAUUAUGAAUUCCUCUAAUUCCACUCUUUGUGUAUGUGAUGAUUAGAAAGGAGAAAGGUUUGUGAUAAAAAACUGCAUGAUACUGGUACAGAGACAGGCAGGUAGAUCAGUGGAAUAGAAUUGAAGACCCAGAAAUGAACCCACACACCUAUGGUCACUUGUUCCUUGACAAAGAAGCUAAAACUCCAAUGGAAAAAAGAUAGCAUUUUCAACAAAUGGCUUUGGUUCAACUGGACAUCAGCAAGUAGAAGAAUGCAAAUCGACCCAUUAUUAUCUCCUUGUACAAAGCUCAAGUCCAUGUGGAUCAAGGACCUCCACAUAAACCCAGAUCCACUGAAACUAAUAGAGAAAUUGAGGAAGAGCCUCAAACACAUGGGCACAGGGGAAAAUUUCCUGAACAGAACACCAAUGGCUUAUGCUCUAAGAUCUAGAAUUGACAAAUGGGGCCUCAUAAACUGCAAAGCUUCUGUAAGGCAAGGGACACUGUCAUUAGGACAAAAUGGCAACCAACUGAUUGGGAAAAGAUCUUUACCAAUCCUACAUCUGAUAGAGAGCUAAUAUCCAAUAUAUACAAAGAACUCAAGAAUAGUUAGACUCCAGAGAGCCAAAUAACCCUAUUAAAAAUGGGGUACAGAGGUUGGGGAUUUAGCUCAGUGGUAGAGCGCUUGCCUAGGAAGUGCAAGGCCCUGGGUUCGGUCCCCAGCUCCGAAAAAAAAAAAGAACCAAAA